This is a non-coding RNA of Lactuca sativa (garden lettuce), 1441 nucleotides long. The record is from RefSeq and is a predicted model, not a curated record. Lineage: Eukaryota; Viridiplantae; Streptophyta; Magnoliopsida; Asterales; Asteraceae.
GUAUUCCCUGUUUUAAGCAAAUAGAAUCGGUCUACAGAUGAAGGCUAUAUAGCAUAUCCUAUCUCUUCCCACCACUACCACACUCUAGACUAGCCCCCUUAUCAAUGAAUUCUGGCAUUCACCUUCCUCCAUGACCACCUUCACCAUUCACGAUGGUUCACCAUCCCAUCUCCUUAAAACCCAGUCAAACCAACAACAACACCUUCACCUUAAUCUCUCCUCACCUGUCCCACUUGGCCAUUUCCUCGGUCGUAAGCAUCGUCGCCACCAACUUUCGGCUUCACCAUAUUCUCUAUUGUCGACCCACUGGUAAACCUUCCCUCUCUGUCCAACAAAACACAAAAUCACAACUACUUUUCCUCCCUUCCUCUAGCCGCAUCUAUCUUACUGGUGAAACCUUCUAAUCUGAUUGCCCCUUUUUCCCGCCUAUACUUGCAUCACAUCGAUCGAGACUCACAACAAAAAAAUCCCUCUCCACACCACUAAUAGCUCACCCUACCACCGCUACCACGACCACCAUUAAGCACCAUCGUCACCAAAUCAGCGACACCCACUAUAUCGUGGCCAUGACACUCCAGCGUCGUCAUCGGCAAAUAGCUCAAAUAUCUUAAAUUCUACAUAUAUUGACCCUGCUCUUCAUCUUCACCCAACUGAAUCAGAUUGGCCCUUCAUCUUCAUGUAAUUGAAUCGGUCAAUGCAAGAUUCAGUGGAGACUUAUUCAAAUUGGAAGAACUUUCAAUCUCUUUUUUCCCUCUCACUUUCUCACAUCACCGUUUGCACGAACAAAAACUCUAGCAUUUGUCACCGCAUCCUACAUUGUCAGAUCACUCACAGCCGCCUCUAUUUAUCUAAUACAUCAAGCAAUGAAUCUCACUAAGAGUCUGGUUUGUGAAACUACUAAAUUAAUUUUCUACUUUCCCUUUUAGUAGGACGAAAAUCUGAACUUAAAGGGUGUAAGGACCAUCAUUGGUUUUCAUUGCAAAAUUAUAUUUUAAUGAGGUUUAUUAUAUAAUUGUUUUUUGAAGUAUUUUCUAAGGGCUACUUAGUUUUUACAUUGUUUUUCUGACAUUAUUAUAGAUUUCGUGAGCAGAUUUGUAUAUGUGAUUAAUGGAUGACACCCCAACUUUCUCAUAGACACAAGUACUUCUCCCACAAAGUUUACAUCCAAAGUUAUGAUUUUUAUAAAGAAGUCUUGUGGCCCACAGAACUUGCUAUUUAGUCCAUCAAUUGCAACAUGAUAGUGAAAAUGAUAAUGGAGUAUAAUUAGAGCUCUUAAUUAUCCAUUUCAAGAUGUGUAAUUAUGAAACUCAAUCUGUUGUGGGUGGAUUAGUUUAAUGUGGAAAUUCUGAUCCCUUGAAUGAGUGUUUUUGAAACAGUUCAAAUUUACUGUAAAUUAAAGGAUUAUAAGUUCUUCUAAUUAAAUGAAGUUUCCAUUGCUAAU